GGAGUGGGAAGGGAGAUGCCAAACAGGGACCACAGAAUCAGCAAAAACCUCUUUAGGGCCACACAGGUGGUGUAUUUGGAAAGAAUUCACCUUUAUUUCUAGAAAUUCCCUGAAGACGACAACCAGAAAAUGAAGAUUUCAGAGCAGUGUCCUUAGGUCUCAAAGAAUCUCCUGCUUAUUAAAAAAAAAACUUUUUCAGGGUUUUUUUCAGCUAAUGAUGUUCUGGUUUACCCUUGCAAGGCACAUUCACCUCUCAGGAUGCUCAGCUGCACUCUGAAGGAAAAAAAAAGUCACAGCUCAGUGCCUGAAUUUCCUGUGGCACUGCAAGGAUUCUUCCACCAGCACCAAACCCAGGGAGACCCAGCUGUGUCAGGGGCUGCCAAAAGGAUCUCCUGCCCUUGCUGGUAUGAUGAAGCAAUUCCAAAAUCACAUCCAGCUGACAUUUCUGCCACUCAUCCCUGCUGAAUGUGUGACCAUCAGACAGGACAAACAGCAAGGUCAGGGCAUGGCCUUACUCCUCAUCAUGUGAGCCCUGAUUUGGUGCUGCUUUGAACCAGGAAUCACCAAUUGAGGACACUUGAAAGAGUCUUUUUCAAGAGUUAUUUAUAUUUAAAUACAUUUCUUUCCAAGAUGGCCAAGCGUUUCUCACUGUGAAGUUUGGAACUAGGGGAAUAACAGAGAUUUCUGUAAAAAUAUGAGUUCAGCUUUCUGCUCUAGCAGGCUCUGCAAGCACCCCGGAGUGCUCCUGGGCAUGGGAAAUGCACCAUCAAUGCAUCAGUGGGAAAUUUCCCUUUGGUGGGAUCAUAACUCUGCCAUGAGCAAUAUUUUCUGAGCUUUAUGGAGUUCUUGCAGCGUGAAACUCAGGCAAAACAUUAACAUUUGGUCCCUUCAAUUGGUACUUAACGACCUCCUGGGCUCCUCAGUGCCCACCCAGAGCCUGAACCUGCUGAGAGCUCUGUUCUUGCUCCCUGAGCUUCUCUUUCACUUCUGACAGCUGGAAAUAAAAAUUGUCAGCUGAUCA
RNAcentral lists this long non-coding RNA (1021 nucleotides) under Chloebia gouldiae (Gouldian finch). RNAcentral describes it as "Erythrura gouldiae (Gouldian finch) lncRNA (ENSEGOG00005007822.1)". Lineage: Eukaryota; Metazoa; Chordata; Aves; Passeriformes; Passeridae. The record is from RNAcentral.